This 756-nucleotide ribosomal RNA is filed under the name uncultured bacterium. Its description in RNAcentral is "bacterial SSU rRNA". It matches the Rfam family "Bacterial small subunit ribosomal RNA", at positions 636 to 1392 of the family's 1533-position model. The record is from RNAcentral.
UNUGACUUGAGUGCAGAAGGGGAGAGUGGAAUUCCAUGUGUAGCGGUGAAAUGCGUAGAUAUAUGGAGGAACACCAGUGGCGAAAGCGGCUCUCUGNUCUGUCACUGACGCUGAGGCUCGAAAGCGUGGGUAGCGAACAGGAUUAGAUACCCUGGUAGUCCACGCCGUAAACGAUGAGUGCUAGGUGUUAGGCCCUUUCCGGGGCUUAGUGCCGGAGCUAACGCAAUAAGCACUCCGCCUGGGGAGUACGACCGCAAGGUUGAAACUCAAAGGAAUUGACGGGGGCCCGCACAAGCGGUGGAGCAUGUGGUUUAAUUCGAAGCAACGCGAAGAACCUUACCAGGUCUUGACAUCCCGAUGCUAUUCUUAGAGAUAGGAAGUUUCUUCGGUACAUCGGAGACAGGUGGUGCAUGGUUGUCGUCAGCUCGUGUCGUGAGAUGUUGGGUUAAGUCCCGCAACGAGCGCAACCCUUAUUGUUAGUUGCCAUCAUUAAGUUGGGCACUCUAGCGAGACUGCCGGUAAUAAACCGGAGGAAGGUGGGGAUGACGUCAAGUCAUCAUGCCCCUUAUGACCUGGGCUACACACGUGCUACAAUGGUCGGUACAACGAGUUGCGAGCCGGUGACGGCAAGCUAAUCUCUGAAAGCCGAUCUCAGUUCGGAUUGGAGGCUGCAACUCGCCUCCAUGAAGUCGGAAUCGCUAGUAAUCGCGGAUCAGCACGCCGCGGUGAAUACGUUCCCGGGCCUUGUACACACCG